RNAcentral lists this transfer RNA (73 nucleotides) under Caudoviricetes sp. Its description in RNAcentral is "tRNA-OTHER". It matches the Rfam family "tRNA". Rfam says of the family: Transfer RNA (tRNA) molecules are approximately 80 nucleotides in length. Their secondary structure includes four short double-helical elements and three loops (D, anti-codon, and T loops). RNAcentral also lists the same sequence under 1 other name. Lineage: Duplodnaviria; Heunggongvirae; Uroviricota; Caudoviricetes. The record is from RNAcentral.
UGGAGCGUAACGUAAUGGUAGCGUCGCCGGCUCUAACCCGGUAUGUGUGUGGGUUCGAAUCCUACCGUUCCAA